RNAcentral lists this ribosomal RNA (459 nucleotides) under uncultured bacterium. RNAcentral's name for it is "partial 16S ribosomal RNA". It matches the Rfam family "Bacterial small subunit ribosomal RNA", at positions 338 to 795 of the family's 1533-position model. The record is from RNAcentral.
CCUACGGGAGGCAGCAGUGAGGAAUAUUGGUCAAUGGACGGAAGGCUGAACCAGCCACGCCGCGUGAAGGACGAAGGUGCCAAGCAUUGUAAACUUCUUUUGUCAAGGGACAAAAUCAGGCUCGAGAGCCUGACCGAGGGUACUUGAAGAAAAAGCAUCGGCUAACUCGGUGCCAGCAGCCGCGGUAAUACGGAGGAUGCGAGCGUUAUCCGGAUUUAUUGGGUUUAAGGGGUGCGUAGGGGGGCAUUUAAGCCGGCGGGAAAAUGUCGGGGCUAAACUCGGGCCUGCCGUGGAAACUGGGUGGCUUGAGUGGGCGAGAGGUAUGCGGAAUGCGUGGUGUAGCGGUGAAAUGCGUAGAUAUCAGGAAGAACACCGAUUGCGAAGGCAGCAUACCGGAGCCCUACUGACGCUGAGGCACGAAAGUGCGGGGAGCGAACAGGAUUAGAUACCCCAGUAGUC